ACAGGGUCACGUGACUGACAGUGGAUGACGGAUGGAGAAACAAACAAACAACAUCAGCAACAAACAGAAAGGUUUCCAUACAUCAAUGCAAAAAACGGUCACUGGCAAGCAAGAAUGCAGGAAUCUGACGUCCGCACAUGCAGACAAAGACCUUGGACUACCUACGUGACUUGGACUAACCCACCAAUGAGGCACACGCCCCUGCCUCGAUCCCAGCUACUGCCCGCUCAUUGGCUCCAUCCGCGCGUGGCGCGUGGCCUCAUCUGCAUAAUUCGACGCCGGCCGUCCGACUUGGCAGUCACGUCUUCUUGCAGUCUCGGCGGUUUAUUUCGCAGUAUGUUGUUGUCAGGAGAACGUGAUUACGGGAAGCAGACUCGGGGAAGCUGGAGAAGAGGAAAAAAACCCAAAAAACGUCCGGAUUCCGUCCCACAGAGAGCGUAGUUUCAGCCGUGGAGGACAGGGCGCCGCCGGCAACACGAAGCGUGUGACUUGAAAAACACAUCGCUCUAACCACACUGUCACGCUGAUACUGCUACUGCUACUGUGCUACAACCACUCAGUUCAUGUCCCCAGAGAGCUGUCUUUGAACAAAAGAAGAGUGUCACACAAAAGACACAUCCUACAUGUCCUUCAGGCUCAACUGAUGUUCGCCAGAGAUUUACGAGUUGCAGCAUCCCCCGAGACACCGAGCCGUCAUCCUAAUCUCGCCGGCGAAUCCACCUGGU
Long non-coding RNA from Patiria miniata (bat star), 725 nucleotides. RefSeq lists it as uncharacterized. The record is from RefSeq and is a predicted model, not a curated record. The transcript has 3 exons. NCBI's taxonomy places the organism in Eukaryota, Metazoa, Echinodermata, Asteroidea, Valvatida, Asterinidae.